GACGAAGGUGGCGAGCGUUGUUCGGAAUCACUGGGCCUAAAGCGCACGUAGGCGGCGACGUAAGUUGGGUGUGAAAUCCCUCGGCCCAACCGAGGAACUGCGCCCAGUACUGCGUUGCUUGAGGAUCCAAGGGGUGCAUGGAAUUCCCGGUGGAGCGGUGAAAUGCGUAGAUAUCGUCUGGAACGCCGAAGGUGAAAACAGCUCGCUGGGGCUGCGCUGACGCUGAGACACGAAAGCCAGGGGAGCGAACGGG
This 253-nucleotide ribosomal RNA is filed under the name uncultured bacterium. RNAcentral describes it as "partial 16S ribosomal RNA". It matches the Rfam family "Bacterial small subunit ribosomal RNA", at positions 524 to 776 of the family's 1533-position model. The record is from RNAcentral.